CGGGUACAACGAGUCGCAAGCUCGCGAGAGUAAGCUAAUCUCUUAAAGCCGUCCUCAGUUCGGACUGUAGGCUGCAACUCGCCUACACGAAGUCGGAAUCGCUAGUAAUCGCGGAUCAGCAUGCCGCGGUGAAUACGUUCCCGGGCCUUGUACACACCGCCCGUCACACCAUGGGAGUUUGUAACGCCCAAAGUCGGUGGCCUAACCUUUAUGAAGGGAGCCGCCUAAGGCGGGACAGAUGACUGGGGUGAAGUCGUAACAAGGUAGC
Molecule: ribosomal RNA, 268 nt
Filed under: uncultured bacterium
Lineage: Bacteria
Description: partial 16S ribosomal RNA
Rfam family: Bacterial small subunit ribosomal RNA
Source: RNAcentral